CGGGUUGUGGUGUAACGGAAGCAUCCCUGACUUUUAAUCAGGUGGGUGUGGGUUCGAAUCCCUCCGGCCCGAC
RNAcentral lists this transfer RNA (73 nucleotides) under Adhaeretor mobilis. RNAcentral's name for it is "Planctomycetes bacterium HG15A2 tRNA-Lys". It matches the Rfam family "tRNA". Rfam says of the family: Transfer RNA (tRNA) molecules are approximately 80 nucleotides in length. The record is from RNAcentral. Lineage: Bacteria; Pseudomonadati; Planctomycetota; Planctomycetia; Pirellulales; Lacipirellulaceae.